GCGGGUGUAGUUCAAUGGUAGAACUUCAGCUUCCCAAGCUGAUAACGUGGGUUCGAUUCCCAUCACCCGCUCCA
This 74-nucleotide transfer RNA is filed under the name Candidatus Nitrosacidicoccus tergens. Its description in RNAcentral is "Chromatiaceae bacterium RW Gly tRNA". It matches the Rfam family "tRNA". From Rfam's summary of the family: Transfer RNA (tRNA) molecules are approximately 80 nucleotides in length. Their secondary structure includes four short double-helical elements and three loops (D, anti-codon, and T loops). The record is from RNAcentral. RNAcentral also lists the same sequence under 13 other names. Lineage: Bacteria; Pseudomonadati; Pseudomonadota; Gammaproteobacteria; Chromatiales; Chromatiaceae.